RNAcentral lists this ribosomal RNA (460 nucleotides) under uncultured bacterium. RNAcentral's name for it is "partial 16S ribosomal RNA". It matches the Rfam family "Bacterial small subunit ribosomal RNA", at positions 338 to 795 of the family's 1533-position model. The record is from RNAcentral.
CCUACGGGUGGCAGCAGUGAGGAAUAUUGGUCAAUGGACGCGAGUCUGAACCAGCCAAGUAGCGUGAAGGAUGACUGCCCUAUGGGUUGUAAACUUCUUUUAUAUGGGAAUAAAAUGUUCCACGUGUGCGUUUUUGUAUGUACCAUAUGAAUAAGGAUCGGCUAACUCCGUGCCAGCAGCCGCGGUAAUACGGAGGAUCCGAGCGUUAUCCGGAUUUAUUGGGUUUAAAGGGAGCGUAGAUGGGUUGUUAAGUCAGUUGUGAAAGUUUGCGGCUCAACCGGAAAAUUGCAAUUGAUACUGGCAGUCUGGAGUACAGUUGAGGUAAGCGGAAUUCGUGGUGUAGCGGUGAAAUGCUUAGAUAUCACGAAGAACCCCGAUUGCGAAGGCAGCUUACUAAACUGUGACUGACAUUGAUGCUCGAAAGUGUGGGUAUCAAACAGGAUUAGAUACCCUGGUAGUC